UACGUAGGGGGCGAGCGUUGUCCGGAUUUAUUGGGCGUAAAGAGCGUGUAGGCGGCCAUGUAGGUCUGCUGUGAAAACUCGAGGCUCAACCUCGAGACGUCGGCGGAAACCAUCUGGCUAGAGUCCGGAAGAGGAGAGUGGAAUUCCUGGUGUAGCGGUGAAAUGCGCAGAUAUCAGGAAGAACACCCGUGGCGAAGGCGGCUCUCUGGGACGGUACUGACGCUGAGACGCGAAAGCGUGGGGAGCGAACAGG
Molecule: ribosomal RNA, 253 nt
Filed under: uncultured bacterium
Lineage: Bacteria
Description: partial 16S ribosomal RNA
Rfam family: Bacterial small subunit ribosomal RNA
Source: RNAcentral